This 4228-nucleotide long non-coding RNA is filed under the name Homo sapiens (human). RNAcentral's name for it is "HSALNT0227034". The record is from RNAcentral. Lineage: Eukaryota; Metazoa; Chordata; Mammalia; Primates; Hominidae.
CGCACGAUCUGCUCCCGGACUCCUUCAGCGCGCUGCCUGCCUGCCCAGGGCCUUCCCGGAGAGCAGGUGACGGCGGCCUCCGGGCAUGGAGCUCGCGCUGACGAAAGGUUCUGGAAGCCGCCGUAAAAAGUAAUCAAGAAACGGGUGACAGGACUUUUCCCUGACCAACAUGAUGAAACCCCAUCUAAAAAUACAAAACAAUUAGCCGGACUGUAGUGGUGCACGCCUGUAAUCGCAGCUACUCAGAAGGCUGAGGCAGGAGAAUUGCUUGCAUCCAGGAGGUGGAGGUUGCAGUGAGCUGAGAUCACGCCAUUGCACUCCAGCCUAGGCGACAGAGUGAGUCUCUGUAUCUGCUGUUCUGUUGUAGGAGAAGGAGAUGUCAGGUAUAAGGGUUAGCAGGGGGUGGCUUGGUUGCGAUCAGGAGAGAGGUAGUGCUCAUUCUCCAUGGGAUCCUUGUGGUGCAUGUCCCUGGCUUUUUUUUUUUUUUUGAGAUGGAGUCUCACUCUGUCACCCAGGCUGGAGUGCAGAGGCACAAUACUCGGCUUACUCGGCUCUGCCUCCUGGGUUCAUGCAUUUCUCCUGCCUCAGCCUCCUGAGUAGCUGGGAUUACAGGUGUGCACCACCACGCCUGGUAUUUUUAGUAGAGAUGGGGUUUCUCCACGUUGGCCAGGCUGGUCUCAAACUCCUGACCUCAAGUGCCGCGGUUUGCCACAGUUACCACGGGACUAAACGAAGGGGUACGAACGUAGAAAUGAAAACUUAAAACAAAAGAAACUGUUUUAAAGGAAGGGGCCAGGGGAAGAAGAAGAGGGCUCCCUGCUUCUAGUGAGCAAGGGCAGCCGCCUUGAACCUCUACCGCCCUUCAUACUCAUUCGGUAGAAAGAGCAGGGUGGAGGAGGUAACAAUUGGUCAGCUGCUUGAUUGAUCACAGGUUCACCUUAUCUCAUUACAAGAAACACUUGUGCUGGGUCGUGACUGCCCUCAGCAUUCCUUCUGGGUGGCAGACGCAGUUUGUCAGUUUGCCAACACCCUGCUUUCAUGAAAACAGUUUGCUGUUUACUCAUAUAGCCUCCAGUGGUGCACUGAGUUGAUCACGACCCUCACUCUUUCGGCCUGCAACACUCAAGUGAUCCACCUGCCUCGGCUGCCCAAAGUGUUGGGAUUACAGGCAUGAGCCACCACGCCCGGCCUGCUCCUGGCUUUUGGCUGAAAGUUGAGACUUAGAAGUUGGGAGGAGACCUGGAGCACCGUGGCUAGUUCUAGGCCCUACACUCUUCAGAACAGCAGAGCUGUAGCUGUCUGCCCUUUGAGGAACCGUUUGAGGUGUGGCACGAUACAGCAAGUCAGCUGCCAAAGAGGGGCUUAGCCACAGGAAGUGCGUGCCCAGAACGCAUCUCCCGUGUCCCUCACAGCAGUUCUAUGAGGCUGGCUGCCCUGUUUGACAACUGAGGCCCGCAUCUUCCCCGGAAUCACCGACGUGUGGCUCUGAGCCCUGUCCCAGGGAUUUUCUCCAUCAGAGAAGAGGAGCACUUUGAGCUUUGAGAGGAGCAGCCCUCUGCAAGUGAAGUGGAAAAAAAGGAAGCAGGCGAGGAGGCCCAUCCAGACCCUCCCCCAAGACCCUUGCUGAAAUGGCUGGGAUGCGGCGUGCAGAAGCUCUCCUUUCCUUCACAGCCCCUGGCUUUCCAAGAGUCCCUGCCCACCCAGAUGCCCGCUGGCAGAUGCAGCCUCAUCUCAAGGACACUGCUUGCUGGAUAAAUCCCUCACCACCCUAGAGACAGCCCACGGUCCUGAGACAAGGAUGCGGGCCAGGCUUGUUGCACGUAAGCGCCUCCCGCAGAAACCAGUGAGGCCGGAGUUCCAGAGGAAAUGAUGUAGGGACAGAGGCAGAGGGCCUCCAGGAGGCACCAGCCCCAGAGUCUUCCCUAGAAUCAGACUUUAAGCACAAGCAGGGAGGGAAAGCACUUGAGCAGUGCCCGUCCCUGCAUACCUGGCCUCUGCUGGAACCCAUGCAGGGACAGGACACUUCUUUAUCAGCAAUCCUGUUCCUCUCCUGGGCAGCUUCAACCUGAACAUCCUCCUUCACCUUGAGCUAAAAUGGGUUUCUUGUCACCCUUGCCCAUCAAACCUGGCCUUGCCCUCAGGAACCACACAGGACAAGCCUAAUACUUCCUUCUUGUGGCAACACUUUAGCAAUUGAGACCUGGCUGUCAGGUCCUCCAAAUAAACAUUUGUGACUGUGAUGUUGACUUGCCGCUUCUGGGGACCUCUUCUCAUUUGAUCGGAGAAAGUUUUUCAGGGUUAAACCUACUUCUUUCCCCCAAGAAACUCUUCUUGUCAGGCUCACGCCUAUAAUCCUGGCACUUUGGGAGGCCAAGGCAGGAGGAUUGUUUGAGACCAGCCUGGGCAACGUAGGUAGACUAUGUUGCUACAAAAAGAAAAAGAAAAAAUGGCCAGGUGUAGUAGUCCCAGCUGCUUGGAGGCUGAGGUAGGAGGUUUGCUUGAGCCCAGGAGGUCGAGGCUGCAGUGAGCUAUGAUUGUGCCACUGCACUCUAGCCUGGGAGACAGAAUGAGGCCCUGUCUCAAAAAAAAAAAAAAAAAAAAAAAGAUGAUGAAACUCCUCACGUAUUUCUCCCCGGAGCAUGUGCUCCCAGGCUCAAAUCCACAGCAGCCUCGUUACACACACGUCAUCCCCUGGCCCCGAGAUAUUGCACCGCCUUCCCCUUUCUAGCUCUGAACCCCCACAUGAAGCAGCCAGACGUAGGAAAACCCAGAUUCAUAAAGCGCUGAUAUGGGUGGUCCUUUACCAAAGGAUUUUCUGCUUUACAAAGUAAUUCACCAAAUGAUUUCCCUAGAGUAUGGGCAGAGAUUUGCAAACUACAGCUUGGAACCAAGCUGCCUUUUUUUUAUAAUAAAGUUUUAUCAGGAUGCAUCCACAUCCAUUCAUCUCUGUGGUGCCAGCUGCUCUAGCUACACAGGCAGAGUGGAAGAGUUGCAGAUGGCCAACAAAACCUAAACUGUUUACCGCCUGGCCCCUUAUAGAAGCAGCUGGCUGACGCUGGCUCCAGGGCAUCAGAAAUGGGACCAUUGGAAAGGAGUAGCCGGGCUACAUGGUUUUUCUUCUGCCCCACGUCUUGUUCUCAAACAUGCUUCCUCCCCAGUCAUCUGAGGAAUGUCAGUCUGAGACAGUCAGGAGCAGGUGUGCCUAGGGAUGCAUGGUUUCUGAAAAUGGGGUGGGGUCUUUUAGGCUGAGGGCUCUGGCAGCUUCUGUCUGAAGGCUGAGCUGAGCUGAGCAGAGCUGGGCAUGGUGGCUCACGCCUGUAGUCCCGGCUACUCAGGAGGCCAAGGUGGGAGAAUCACUUGAGCCUGGGAAGUUCAGAGGAGCCUGGGCAACACAGUGAGACCUCAUCUUUAUUUUUUGAAAUUUUUUGUUUUUAUUAUUUUUUUAAUUUUUAGGAGCAGAGGGUUAAUAGGCAAAAGAAAGAGAGAGAGGAAAACAGCUCUCUCCAGUGAGAGAGAGGGUACUUCUGAAAGGAAAACGCCACCGGCAGCAGAUGCACUGGAUUUUAUAGUCAGGCUUGAGGAGGUGGUGUCUGAUUUACAUAGGGCUCACAGAUUGGUUCAGUCAGGUAUGAUGUUUACAUAGCGCUGGGGUGUGGGGAAGGCUGACCUCCCCACUCUAAUCUUAUUAUGCAAAUGAACUUUCCCCUUGGCCAGCACCAUCUUGUCUGCUCCUUACUGUGCACGUGGCUGGCAGAGAAGGGAAGAUGGAGCCGCCAUUUUGAACAUGAUUGGCACAACUGCCUGCAUCUAUGUCUGCAGCUCGAUUUUACACGCUGCUCUUUGUUAGAAAGGAAAAUGAUUUGGGGCUGCUUUUCAGUAAAAGGAAAACCUUACUGAGGACUUCUGUAUCCUCACUAUCUAAGUAAUUUCCUCUUAACUCCUGUAUCAUUCCCCACUCUGGAGUGGUAACCCUAACUGCUCUUCGGGGUUGUUUGAUGAUGACUCUUUCUGGCUACUUCAUACUUAAAAGGGGUGUUGUGUGGGGAACAGAAGCUAAGGGCUCCUCCUGGGGUCGAGCUAAGGGUCCUCGGAAAAAAGGCAUGUCCGUGCAUGGUUCUGUCUGCAGCACCAUUUAGAGUUUGAUUACUGUCAGCCAUUCUGAUGGGUUGUAACACUGGUUUGCCUCCACCAGAUGUUGAGAUAGUUUCCAGAUUCCAGAGAAACCAGG